UACGUAGGGACGAGCGUUGUCCGGAAUUACUGGGCGUAAAGGGCGCGCAGGCUGUAGAUCAAGUCAGCUGUGAAAUGUCUGGGCUUAACCCGGGCAUGCGGUUGAAACUGAUGUACUGGAGUGCUGUAGAGGCAAGUGGAAUUCCCAGUGUAGCGGUGAAAUGCGUAGAUAUUGGGAAGAACACCGGUGGCGAAGGCGACUUGCUGGGCAGCAACUGACGCUGAGGCGCGAAAGCCAGGGGAGCAAACGGGGAUUAGA
Molecule: ribosomal RNA, 258 nt
Filed under: uncultured prokaryote
Description: partial 16S ribosomal RNA
Rfam family: Bacterial small subunit ribosomal RNA
Source: RNAcentral